RNAcentral lists this ribosomal RNA (220 nucleotides) under uncultured bacterium. Its description in RNAcentral is "partial 16S ribosomal RNA". It matches the Rfam family "Bacterial small subunit ribosomal RNA", at positions 111 to 334 of the family's 1533-position model. The record is from RNAcentral.
UAAUGUAUGGGGAUCUGCCCGAUAGAGGGGAAUAACUACUGGAAACGGUGGCUAAUACCUCAUAAUGUCUACGGACCAAAGCAGGGGCUCUUCGGACCUUGCACUAUCGGAUGAACCCAUAUGGGAUUAGCUAGUAGGUGGGGUAAAGGCUCACCUAGGCGACGAUCUCUAGCUGGUCUGAGAGGAUGAUCAGCCACACUGGGACUGAGACACGGCCCAG